RNAcentral lists this ribosomal RNA (484 nucleotides) under uncultured bacterium. RNAcentral describes it as "partial 16S ribosomal RNA". It matches the Rfam family "Bacterial small subunit ribosomal RNA", at positions 30 to 507 of the family's 1533-position model. The record is from RNAcentral.
AUUGAACGCUGGCGGCAGGCCUAACACAUGCAAGUCGAGCGGAUGAAGGGAGCUUGCUCCUGGAUUCAGCGGCGGACGGGUGAGUAAUGCCUAGGAAUCUGCCUGGUAGUGGGGGAUAACGUCCGGAAACGGGCGCUAAUACCGCAUACGUCCUGAGGGAGAAAGUGGGGGAUCUUCGGAACUCACGCUAGCAGAGGAGCCGAGGUCGGAUUAGCUAGUUGGUGGGGUAAAGGCCUACCAAGGCGACGAUCCGUAACUGGUCUGAGAGGAUGAUCAGUCACCCUGGAACUUAGACAGCGUCCAGACGACUAAGAGACGGCGCAGUGGGGAAUAUUGGACAAUGGGCGGAAACCUGGUACAGCGAUGCCGAGUGUGUUAAAAAAGUCCUCCGAUUGUAAAGAACUUUAAGUUGGGAGGAAGGGCAGUAAGUUAAUACCUUGCUGUUUUGACGUUAACAACAGAAUAAGCACCGGCUAACUUCGUG